This 502-nucleotide ribosomal RNA is filed under the name uncultured bacterium. RNAcentral's name for it is "partial 16S ribosomal RNA". It matches the Rfam family "Bacterial small subunit ribosomal RNA", at positions 30 to 523 of the family's 1533-position model. The record is from RNAcentral.
AUUGAACGCUGGCGGCAUGCCUUACACAUGCAAGUCGAACGGCAGCACGGGUGCUUGCACCUGGUGGCGAGUGGCGAACGGGUGAGUAAUACAUCGGAACAUGUCCUGUAGUGGGGGAUAGCCCGGCGAAAGCCGGAUUAAUACCGCAUACGAUCUACGGAUGAAAGCGGGGGACCUUCGGGCCUCGCGCUAUAGGGUUGGCCGAUGGCUGAUUAGCUAGUUGGUGGGGUAAAGGCCUACCAAGGCGACGAUCAGUAGCUGGUCUGAGAGGACGACCAGCCAGACUGGGACUGAGACACGGCCCAGACUCCUACGGGAGGCAGCAGUGGGGAAUUUUGGACAAUGGGCGAAAGCCUGAUCCAGCAAUGCCGCGUGUGUGAAGAAGGCCUUCGGGUUGUAAAGCACUUUCGUCCGGAAAGAAAUCCUUGAUUCUAAUACAGUCGGGGGAUGACGGUACCGGAAGAAUAAGCACCGGCUAACUACGUGCCAGCCGCCGCCGUAA